ACUGAUGGAGCUGUGACCGUGGAGGAAAUUGGUGAUGUCGAUGCCCUGGAUGAAGUUUCUCAAGCAUAUGCGUCUUUGAAGGAUGUCGACGUUCUAGAUGUAUCUGAAGAAGGUACUCAAAUAUGGAUCCAGGCCGAAGCUUCAUAUAAUGAGCGCACUUCUAGAGUGGAAAAUUCAAUAAUCGCCCAACUCAAGGACCGCCUGGCUACCGCGAAGAACGCUACGGAGAUGUUCCGUGUCUUUUCAAAAUUCAAUGCCCUGCUUGUCCGACCCAAGAUUCGAAGUGCUAUUAGUAUACACCAAUCUGAAUUAAUCGAGCUAGUUAAGCACGAUAUUGCAAAACUGCAUGAGAGAUUCAAGCAACAGUAUGGUCAUUCUCAAGCACAUCCCAUGGCGCAGCUACGAGAUCUUCCUCCGGUAUCAGGUGCAAUCGUCUGGGCUCGUCAGAUUGAACGGCAACUUGAUGGCUAUAUGAGAAAGGUCGAGGACGUUCUGGGAGAAGACUGGGACUUGCAUGCUGAAGGGCAGAAACUCCAGGCUGAAAGUAACAUGUUCCGAAAGAAGCUUGAUACGCGACCUAUAUUUCAGAACUGGUUACAGGAUGUUCAACGACGAAAUAUUACGAUUUCCGGCCGCUUGUUUAAGAUUUUCCGCAAUCGUGCGACGGGGAACACUUUAGAACU
Molecule: small RNA, 683 nt
Filed under: Histoplasma capsulatum
Lineage: Eukaryota; Fungi; Ascomycota; Eurotiomycetes; Onygenales; Ajellomycetaceae
Also listed under: 1 other name
Description: hypothetical RNA
Source: RNAcentral